CUGCGAUGUGCUGGAGACUACUAGAAACUUGUUCUAGUAUAGAAUAGCUUAGUGGAUCAGGAUGUUGCUAAAUUAAAUCCCUUGUUACACUCGUUUAGUUCUGGACAGGAUUUGAACGUUUUACACUUUUAUCAGAUCAUUUCAAUCAUGCUUCAUACCGAAAUUACAAUUAACCCAUUCAAGCCUUGUAUAAACAAUAACGGACAGUAUUCUGUGUUAGAAAAAAUAUAUGUACUUCCAAUCAAAUCGUGCAAUUUCCUUGGUACACAGGUGCACAUUCUUUGAUGCCCGAAAUGCAUUCCAAGCUCUAGAUAUCUGCCUUCAAUAAUGGCCUAUAAUCACAUUUGCCAAAAAACAGCUGCUUUGUAAUGCUGGUGUGUCCCACUUAGUUUGAUUAUCUUAGUUAAGCUGUAAUAUCGAACUCGAAGACCUGUUUCGUUAUUAUUUCUUGAAAUGCAGCUGAACCAGAAUUUCCUUUGGGACGAGAUGCUUUCCGGACAAACAUUAUUGUAUGCUGAUAUAAUAAUUAACAACCGAUCCUAUGGGCUGAAAUAUGUGUUAAAAGCUUGGAGCAAGACACAUUACGAUCGAUGGCGUUCGCUGACUGAUGCAUUGCUAUUUACUGCUGACUAGCUUAUCCUUUUGUUGCCUCUAAUCAGUGAUGAACACCAAUUAGAAUCAAUCGAUUUAAUUCACAGGAUAU
Molecule: long non-coding RNA, 703 nt
Organism: Bolinopsis microptera
Lineage: Eukaryota; Metazoa; Ctenophora; Tentaculata; Lobata; Bolinopsidae
Exons: 3
Source: RefSeq, a predicted model, not a curated record